ACUUAAGCAGCUGACGCUUCAAUCGGAUUUUGGUUAAGGGAUCCUCUUAGUUAGGCUGGCGACUUAAAAACUAGCGCUGCAUGGGAGGCAACCCAUGUUUUUUUUUCUUGUUUUCCCUUGUUUUCAUUUUUCUUUCGUUUUGUUCGGGUUUGUGUUUUUGUUUUUUCUGUUGUUUGGUGCAGGUUGGUGCUGAAGGAAUAUUAAACUGAAUUAAUGCUCCGUUUGCCCGAUGAUUGUUUCUUUGAUUAUUAUUAAUUUAUCAUACAACGAUUAAUCCCUAACAUGCAUCUAUGAAUUUAAUUGCUGCACGUUGGAGUUCAGAAAUACCUGAAGAAUUCAGAAGAAUUCG
RNAcentral lists this long non-coding RNA (349 nucleotides) under Salvia miltiorrhiza (redroot sage). Its description in RNAcentral is "long non-coding RNA (SMIL_LNC002567)". Lineage: Eukaryota; Viridiplantae; Streptophyta; Magnoliopsida; Lamiales; Lamiaceae. The record is from RNAcentral.